RNAcentral lists this ribosomal RNA (251 nucleotides) under uncultured bacterium. RNAcentral describes it as "partial 16S ribosomal RNA". It matches the Rfam family "Bacterial small subunit ribosomal RNA", at positions 335 to 604 of the family's 1533-position model. The record is from RNAcentral.
AACCUACGGGGGGCAGCAGUGGGGAAUAUUGCACAAUGGGGGGAACCCUGAUGCAGCGACGCCGCGUGAGUGAAGAAGUAUCUCGGUACGUAAAGCUCUAUCAGCAGGGAAGAAAAUGACGGUACCUGACUAAGAAGCCCCGGCUAACUACGUGCCAGCAGCCGCGGUAAUACGUAGGGGGCAAGCGUUAUCCGGAUUUACUGGGUGUAAAGGGAGCGUAGACGGCAGCACAAGUCUGGAGUGAAAUCCCG